RNAcentral lists this ribosomal RNA (253 nucleotides) under uncultured bacterium. Its description in RNAcentral is "partial 16S ribosomal RNA". It matches the Rfam family "Bacterial small subunit ribosomal RNA", at positions 524 to 776 of the family's 1533-position model. The record is from RNAcentral.
UACGUAGGGUGUGAGCGUUAAUCGGAAUUACUGGGCGUAAAGCGUGCGCAGGCGGUUUUGUAAGCCAGAUGUGAAAUCCCCGGGCUUAACCUGGGAAUGGCAUUUGGGACUGCAAGGCUGGAGUUUGGCAGAGGAGACUGGAAUCCCUGGUGUAGCAGUGAAAUGCGUAGAUAUCAGGAGGAACACCGAUGGCGAAGGCAGGUCUCUGGGCUGAAACUGACGCUCAUGCACGAAAGCGUGGGGAGCAAACAGG